This 477-nucleotide ribosomal RNA is filed under the name uncultured bacterium. RNAcentral describes it as "partial 16S ribosomal RNA". It matches the Rfam family "Bacterial small subunit ribosomal RNA", at positions 28 to 507 of the family's 1533-position model. The record is from RNAcentral.
GAUGAACGCUGGCGGCGUGCCUAACACAUGCAAGUCGAACGAAGCACCUUACCUGAUUCUUCGGAUGAAAGUUUGGUGACUGAGUGGCGGACGGGUGAGUAACGCGUGGGUAACCUGCCCUGUACAGGGGGAUAACAGCUGGAAACGGCUGCUAAUACCGCAUAAGCGCACGAGGAGACAUCUCCUUGUGUGAAAAACUCCGGUGGUACAGGAUGGGCCCGCGUCUGAUUAGCUGGUUGGAAGGGUAACGGCCUACCAAGGCAACGAUCAGUAGCCGGUCUGAGAGGAUGAACGGCCACAUUGGAACUGAGACACGGUCCAAACUCCUACGGGAGGCAGCAGUGGGGAAUAUUGCACAAUGGGGGAAACCCUGAUGCAGCAACGCCGCGUGAGUGAAGAAGUAUUUCGGUAUGUAAAGCUCUAUCAGCAGGGAAGAUAAUGACGGUACCUGACGAAGAAGCUCCGGCUAAAUACGUG